RNAcentral lists this ribosomal RNA (490 nucleotides) under uncultured bacterium. RNAcentral describes it as "bacterial SSU rRNA". It matches the Rfam family "Bacterial small subunit ribosomal RNA", at positions 30 to 514 of the family's 1533-position model. The record is from RNAcentral.
AUUGAACGCUGGCGGCGUGCCUAACACAUGCAAGUCGAGCGGUAACAGGUGUAGCAAUACAUGCUGACGAGCGGCGAACGGGUGAGUAAUGCUUUGGAAUCUUCCCAGUAGUGGGGAAUAACCAGUCGAAAGAUUGGCUAAUACCGCAUACGUCUGUAAAGGGAAAGCGGGGGCUCGUAAGACCUCGCGCUAUUGGAUGAGCCAAAGUCGGAUUAGCUAGUGGUGGGGUAAUGGCCUACCAAGGCGACAAUCCGUAGCUGGUCUGAGAGGACGACCAGCCACACCGGAACUGAGACACGGUCCGGACUCCUACGGGAGGCAGCAGUGGGGAAUAUUGGACAAUGGGGGAAACCCUGAUCCAGCGACGCCGCGUGUGUGAAGAAGGCCUGCGGGUUGUAAAGCACUUUUAGUGGGGACAAAAGCUACGGAUUAAUACUCUGUGGUCUUGAUUUAACCCAAAGAAAAGCACCGGCUAACUCUGUGCCAGCAG